UGCUGCGGAAUUAGUAUCUCGACAAAUCAAUAUGGUGUAGAAAUAAAUGACAAAUUUUUUAGAAAUCUUAAAAUGUGAAAUUUCUCCCGUUUGAAUCUUUCUUUUAUCCAAUACAUCUCAGAAAAUGAUAAAAUAUGAACCUUCUCCCGUUUCAAUAUCUUCCUUUAUCAAAUACAUCUCAGAAAUUUUCUGAUAUUGGAUGACUUCGUUAUUCAAGAAUUAUAUAUUACCUCGGAUUUAUCAUCUUUCAAAGAUUAACAGCACGUGAUAAAGAACAGAUAUUCCAAUCAUUAUCAUCGUUUAACGUCCGCCUUCCAUGCUGGCAUGGGUUGUCCGAUUUGAUAGGAGCUGGCCGGCAGAAAACUACACCAGACUUCUGUGUUUGUUUUGGCAUGGUUCUUUAUGGUUGGGUGCCCUUUCCAACACCAACCACCCUGCAGAAAAGAUUUGAGUGCAUUUUACGUGGUUUUUUUAUAAAUGUAAAGUAGAAUUACUUGAAAAUAUUUUCUCUUAACUGAAAUUAAUAGCAAAAUGUCUUUUGUUUUGCUGACUGCAAUGUGUACAAGAUGAUUUUGAGUUCUAGUUAAAAUUGGAUUACAGCAGAGUUUGGAGCAGCUGCAGAUAUUAAAAAAGAUUACAGAUGGAUAGAAAUAUAGCGGAGAAAAUAUUUGUUUAGAAUCAAUUAUAAAGAUAUACAGAAACGAGAAUAUAUUGAAGUGAGAGAAGAAAAAUUAUUUUAAAAAGAC
Molecule: long non-coding RNA, 746 nt
Organism: Octopus bimaculoides (California two-spot octopus)
Lineage: Eukaryota; Metazoa; Mollusca; Cephalopoda; Octopoda; Octopodidae
Source: RefSeq, a predicted model, not a curated record